AUGUCACGGACGGCAAGAUUGGACGGAUGGCACUUGUCAAUCCCGUUUUCCGGUGAUGCCUGUUGUAGGUGCAACUGUUGGACUAGUCGUCUUUGUGAUUGCUAUAGCCUGCGCAUGCAUGAUCCAAGAGAGAAGAAAGCUACACAAGAUGAAGCGGGAGACUUUCGGCAGCACGGUGGUCUGAUAUUAUUUGAUGAGAUGAGGUCAAAGCAAGGUAUUACAUUCAAAAUCUUCACGGAAGAAGAACUGCAGCAAGCCACAAACAAGUUCAGCGAACAACAAGUACUAGGUCAAGGGGGCUAUGGGACUGUGUACAAGGGACUUCUCAAGGGCGACGUGGAAGUAGCUGACAAGAGAUGCAAGACGGUUGAUGAGCAACAGAAGAAAGAAUUCGGAAAAGAGAUGUUAAUCCUGUCCCAGGUCAACCAUAGAAACAUUGUGAAGCUCCUCGGGUGUUGCCUCAAAGUGGAAGUCCCUAUGCUGGUAUACUAG
RNAcentral lists this ribosomal RNA (492 nucleotides) under Triticum aestivum (bread wheat). RNAcentral's name for it is "partial small subunit ribosomal RNA". Lineage: Eukaryota; Viridiplantae; Streptophyta; Magnoliopsida; Poales; Poaceae. The record is from RNAcentral.